Molecule: ribosomal RNA, 446 nt
Filed under: uncultured bacterium
Lineage: Bacteria
Description: partial 16S ribosomal RNA
Rfam family: Bacterial small subunit ribosomal RNA
Source: RNAcentral
CCUACGGGUGGCAGCAGUCGAGAAUUAUUCACAAUGGGGGAAACCCUGAUGGUGCGACGCCGCGUGGGGGAAUGAAGGUCUUCGGAUUGUAAACCCCUGUCAUGUGGGAGCAAAUUAAAAAGAUAGUACCACAAGAGGAAGAGACGGCUAACUCUGUGCCAGCAGCCGCGGUAAUACAGAGGUCUCAAGCGUUGUUCGGAAUCACUGGGCGUAAGGCGUGCGUAGGCUGUUUCGUAAGUCGUGUGUGAAAGUCGCGGGCUCAACCCGCGGACGGCACAUGAUACUGCGAGACUAGAGUAAUGGAGGGGGAACCGGAAUUCUCGGUGUAGCAGUGAAAUGCGUAGAUAUCGAGAGGAACACUCGUGGCGAAGGCGGGUUCCUGGACAUUAACUGACGCUGAGGCACGAAGGCCAGGGGAGCGAAAGGGAUUAGAUACCCGAGUAGUC